UCUCCGUAGGUGAACCAGCGGAAGGAUCAUUCACAAUAAGUGUUUUAUGGCACUCUUGAAAAAAUACAUAUCCACCUUGUGUGCAACGUGAUGAGACCCUAUAUCGUUAUCUUUUAGGUUACGGAAGGGGGAACGGCUACAACUUACCCACAUCGCCUUUAACUGAUUUGUCUGAACAUUUGUUUUCACGAAUUAACUUAAUUCGAAGUUACAACUUUCAACAACGGAUCUCUUGGCUCUC
Molecule: unclassified non-coding RNA, 241 nt
Filed under: plant metagenome
Description: partial contains small subunit ribosomal RNA, internal transcribed spacer 1, and 5.8S ribosomal RNA
Source: RNAcentral